GACGAACGCUGGCGGCGUGCUUAACACAUGCAAGUCACGGGGGCUCGCAAGGGCAACCGGCGAACGGGUGCGUAACACGUGAGCAACCUGCCGAUCUGAGGGGGAUAGCCGGCCCAACGGCCGGGUAAUACCGCAUACGUUCUCGAGGCCUCAUGGCUUUGGGAAGAAACCUCCGGGGCAGAUCGAGGGGCUCGCGGCCUAUCAGCUAGUUGGCGGUGUAAUGGACCACCAAGGCGACGACGGGUAGCUGGUCUGAGAGGAUGGCCAGCCACAUUGGGACAGAGAGACGGCCCAGACUCCUACGGGAGGCAGCAGUGGGGAAUCUUGCGCAAUGGCCGAAAGGCUGACGCAGCGACGCCGCGUGUGGGAUGAAGCAUUUCGGUGUGUAAACCACUGUUGGCCCGGGAGAACAUCCUCUUUCGAGAGGACUGACGGUACCGGGUGAGGAAGCACCGGCUAACUCCGUGCCAGCA
This 473-nucleotide ribosomal RNA is filed under the name uncultured bacterium. RNAcentral's name for it is "bacterial SSU rRNA". It matches the Rfam family "Bacterial small subunit ribosomal RNA", at positions 28 to 513 of the family's 1533-position model. The record is from RNAcentral.